GAUGAACGCUGGCGGCGUGCCUAAUACAUGCAAGUCGAGCGAACGGACGAGAAGCUUGCUUCUCUGAUGUUAGCGGCGGACGGGUGAGUAACACGUGGAUAACCUACCUAUAAGACUGGGAUAACUUCGGGAAACCGGAGCUAAUACCGGAUGAUAUUUUGAACCGCAUGGUUCAAAAGUGAGAGACGGUCUUGCUGUCACUUAUAGAUGGAUCCGCGCUGCAUUAGCUAGUUGGUAAGGUAACGGCUUACCAAGGCAACGAUGCAUAGCCGACCUGAGAGGUGGUUCGGCCAAACGGAACCGAGACCAGGGUCCAAACUCCAAGGGAGGGCGGCGUAGGGAAUCUUCCGCAAUGGGCGAAAGCCUGACGGAGCAACGCCGCGUGAGUGAUGAAGGUCUUCGGAUCGUAAAACUCUGUUAUUAGGGAAGAACAUAUGUGUAAGUAACUGUGCACAUCUUGACGGUACCUAAUCAGAAAGCCACGGCUAACUACGUG
Molecule: ribosomal RNA, 496 nt
Filed under: uncultured bacterium
Lineage: Bacteria
Description: partial 16S ribosomal RNA
Rfam family: Bacterial small subunit ribosomal RNA
Source: RNAcentral